CUUAACCCACGGAACCAGGCCAGGGAUCGAGCCCGCAAUCUCAUGGUUCCUAGUUGGAUUCGUUAACCACUGCACCACGACGGGAACUCCUCCUUACCAAUUCUUAAAACCAUGAACUUUCAGUUUUCAUGUUUUAGAGAACACCUAUGAUUCAUGAGCAAUGACACAUAGUAUUUAUUAUGAUUGUUCAAGCACAGUAGUGACCAUGAAAAUUCUGCAGCUAUCUUGUAAGAACAUGUUAUUACCAGACAAUGGUCUUGAGCUUGGAGUACUGCAGGUAUUUGAAUGGUGUCGAUUUCAUAAUGAUGGAAAGACCAAGAUUGUUUGCUGGUACAGCAAGCUGUGUCUUGUACACAUGUAUCUUAAUGUGCUUUUCCAGUUCCUUUCAAAAGAGGGACAUUCUGAGGACAUUGCUCUUGUCCAGGUAAGUAUUCUGGUGCACCUUCCCUAAUCAGACCAUCACAUCUUUAAAUAUGGAGGUCAGUGUUAGGUUUGACUAAACUUAUUUUACCAUGUGGUUUUAUUUAAGGUAAUCAGGUAAGAAAUGAUUGUAUUUUUACCAAUUGUAGAAAUCCUGAUAUGCUGCUAUUUUUGAUUUUUUUUCCCCACUUAGUCAUGGGAAUGUAGAGUGGACAGUGUGUAUCCAUCCACACCAUGAUGGUGGAAUUAUGUGGCACAGUCGCCACCAUGGUGCUUUUGCAAGUGAGCUGGGAAGAGAUGAUUAAGUGUUGAACUUAGACCUUGAGUCCUGCAUGAGACCAAGGAGCACUGAUAGGUCCUGCAGUGAUGGCCACACACAAGGUUAUUUGAAGUGUCCUAGUAGAAAUGGUGCAUCCACAGACAUAUCUGUUGCAAAGGAUUUUUUACAUUCCUGUCAAGACAUCACAGUGAAUUUCAAAAUGAUCGUGAAUGGGAUUUUGCUUAUCUCCAGGUAAGUGAUGCUGGUGGCCUUUAGCACCUAUAGUCUGAUCUUCAGAUAUUAGGUACAUGUGGAGGGCGUUUCUGACUCUUCUGCUACCAUGUUUUUUUUAAAGCAAUUCUUCAUUUAAGAAAUGACAUUGUCAAUCACAAUUUUGUAAAUCAACUAUAUUUCAAUAACUCUUGAAAAAAUAGAAAAAAAAUGACAUUGUUCCAACCAGUGCUAGUAAGUAUUUGCCCCGAUUUUUUUAGAGUAUUGAUAUAAUGUAUGUUUAAAUUUAUAUUGACUGAUAGAUUAUGAACGUCCAGGUAACUUAAACUACUGUUGCAAUCUUAACCAUGACAUUCUACAGAUUUUCCUAGAAGAGAUGAUAGGCGCCUCACAAUGGUUUUGACCUUCAAGUUCUUCUAAGAUCCUGGUACUGCUUAAUCUUCUCAUAAUGAUGGAAAUGAACAGGAUUAUUUGCAAAGAUAGUUAUUUUCAGUGUAAGCUGUGUAUUUCUCAGGGUUCUAGCCAUUAUCAUGACAUCACAAUGAACCAAAUAAUAGUUGUCACUGAGACCUUGCUAGAAACCAGGUAUGGGAUAAAGUGGCUCUUAGCCACUACAGAUCACUAGAUGUUCACAUAUCAAGGCAAGUGAGAAUGGUAUCUCUAAUAUGGUGUAUCAUGCUUUUUUGUAGGUUUCCUGCUAAGUCCUUGGCCGAGUGUACAGGUAUGAAUGAUGACACAUUAAUUCAAUAGAUACCUUCUUAUUUGCAGAUACACAGGUAGUUGAUGAUAUUUUGAAGGCUUUUAAACUGUUUUUGGCAUGGAUCAUUUCGGAAAUUAAUUUGUCCUCAUGGUAUUAGUAAACAUUAGAAAUUACUGUAUUCUUGUUCAGGGAUCAUUUCUUUUUACACUACUGUGAUGGUAUCCAGGUAAUUUAUUACAUUUUCCAACCCUACAAUAUUGAACACGGGAUUCUUGCAGGUAUCCCUUCAAAUGAGGAAAGUCCUCUUAUUAGGUUUACACCUGGGAUUUCUGCAAUUACCCAAAUCAGGUUUGUGCAUCCAUAAAUGUCAUAAUUGACCCAGAGAAUUUGCAGGUGCCCAGGUAGAAUGAGAUGUGUACUGAACACAUUUUGUACAAUGUGUUUUUCAGAGUCAUGUCAAGAUAUCUAGAUGAGCUUAAAAUGACAGGUAAUGGGUGACCUGGCUGGUGUCAAGGUAAGUGAUUGUCUGCACCUAAAGCACAGAACAGGCUACCUGACCUUCGUAUAUCCAGGAAAGUGAUGAUGUGUCCUCACGUUUAUGUUAGCACGAUGUUUUCUGCAGGUAUUCAGGUAAGAAAUGAGAGAGUAUUACUAAUUUUAGAAAACAUGAGAUUUCAUUUUUUAGAUGAGACAAAGUUGAAGUGUCCCCUGUGAGUGUUGAAGGGUCGCACAUAUCUAGAUUUCAUUCAUGGUGUGUCUGCCCCAGUACUAGCCAUAGAUUUUGUGCAGGUGUCCAGGAAAGUAAUGGUGAUUUUAGCUGACAUCAGUAUUGAUCUUUGAUUACUGAAAAUAUCCAGGGAUUGUUGGUGUGUUCCAUAAUGAUUAAGUGACCAGGUUAUUUGCAGAUAUCCUGAUAGAAAAAGUUGUUUCCUUUCCCACAGUUUUUGUCAUGUCUUUUUCAGAUUCCUGUUCUAGAGCCCUGUAAACCUGGCAGUGGUGAUAAUAGGGGAUGCUGUUGGGAUGCAGGUAAGUGAUAAUGUGGGCCUAAAUCACAGCCCAGGGCAUGUGAUCCCCAGCUAGCCAGGUGAAUGAUGAUGGUGUCUCUAAGAGGUGUUAUUACCAUGUUUUUUGCUAGUUUUCAGGAAGGAAAUUAUCUGGCCCUUACUAAUUCUAAAAGCAUUUCAUUUCCACCGAUUAUAAUUUAGAGAACAUUGUGAUCGAACCCCAUGAAGGUUGAGGGAUUGCCAUUUCCAGGUAAUUAUCAUGAUGUCCUCAAUCAGCAGUAAUCAUGGCAAUUUUGCAGGUGGCCCAUACAGAAAAUUGUCUUACUGGCAAUAAUUUAGGCCUUGGAGAACUGCAAGUGUGGAGGUAGAAUUGGUGUCUUCAUAAUGAGACAGUGACCAAGGUCACUGCAGUUGUCCUGGUCAAAUAAUUACAUCCCUUUACGCAUUUAUGUGUUUUUCAGGCUCCUAUCAAGUGGUCUCUGUGAACCCGACAGUGGUCAUUAAGGAGGGAACAUUUCUGGUCUCCAGAUGUGUUAUGAAACGUACAUUCAGUGCAUCACUAGAUACAUGGAGGAUCUUCAUGUAUCUAGUUAAGUGGUAUUGGUUGCUUGAACUCGUUUUAUCAUGUGGUUUUUUUUCAGGUACUCAGUUAGAAAUGAUAAUAGUAUUUUUGCCAGUUCUAGCAAUCAUAUUAUCUUAUUUUUAUGUUUAAGAGGAAAUUUGCUUUUAACUGUGUGAGUGUUAGGCGAUCCAUGGUUAUUCAUCUAAGAAACAUGGACUUUGGGUUCACAGAAGUUACCACGAUAUUUUUGCAGGUAAACAGUGAAACAUGAUGGUGUCUAACAGUGGUAUGAACUCCAGGUAGAGUUGAUGGGUCCCGCAUCGAUGGACAUGAACAAGGUUAUUUGCAGUGUCCUCUUAGCAAAGGUAUUGUGUAGACAUAUUUAUCCCAAUUUUUCUUCAGAUUUCUAUUCAGAAAUCAUAAUGAUCAUAAUGGCACUUUGCUUUUAUCUGGCUAAGUGAUGAUGUGGUUCUUUAUUCCCCUACAGAUAAUCUUCCCAUCUGAUAUGUAAGUAAGUCUGGAUAGUUUUCCUAAGUUUUCUGUUACUAUGUUUUGUUUUGUUGUGUUUUGUUUUUUACAGGUAUUCAGUUCAGAAAAAAUAUUGUCCCAACCAAUACUCAUAAUCACUUUAUAGUUUAUAUAUGAUUUGUGUUUAACCUUAGCAGUGUUGGGGGGUUAUCCAGGUAAGUUGUCCUGUUCCACACCACCAUGAGAUUUUUACAGGUCUUCAGAUAAGAAAUGAUGGUUUCUUUAACAAUGAUGUUGAACUUGAAGUUCUUCCAAGAUCUACAAAAUGUUGAUGGUUCCCUUAGUGAUAGAAAUAAGCAGAAUUAAUUACAGAUAUCCUUUAGGUAAAAGGAUUUUUUUUCCCUAAACCCCCUUAUCAAUGUGUUCUUACAGGUUAUAGUAGUGAUGACACUAUAGCCAACCUGGUAAUGGUCAUUAAUGGGACCCUGCUAGUAACCAGGUAAGUGAUAUUGAGGGUCUUACCCCACAGUAUAGACCAACUGGUCUUCAGAUGUCUCUGUAAGUGAGGAUGAUGUCCCCAACACCAGACACAGCGAAUCCGGGGGUGGGGGGGGGUUAUUGCAGAUAUUCUGUUAAAGUGUUUGCUAGUGUCAAGGUGUGAGAUGUCACAUUCAUAUCUAGGUGAGUGAUGGUGUGGGCCUAACCCACGUCAUAUCUCAUCUUCAUGUGUAAAGGUAAGUGAGGUUGCAUGUGUUUCUAACACUUCUAGUUAGCAUUUUAUUGCAGGUAUUCAGGUAAGGUAAGGGUUCACGCUAAUUCCAGUAACCCUGAGUUUAUAUUUUUCGUGAUUUAAGGAUGACUAAUGUUUAACCCUGUGGGUGGUAUGAGUUGAUCAUAUCUGGUCAAUGUCAUGGAGUUCCCACCACAGUAGUAACCAUAGGAUGUGUGCAGGUGUCCAGUUAAGAAAAGAAGGUCUCUCCUGACAAUGGCAUGGACCUGAAUUAAUGUACCUACCCAAGUAGAGUUGAUGAGUUCCAUAAUAAUGGAGGUACACAAGUUAGGUGCAGGUGUCCUGGUAGAACAAGUUGUAUCUUCAGACACAUGUGUUGCAUGUGUUUUUUCAGGAUCUUGUCAGGGGAACACAGUGAACCUACAAUGCUUGCUAUGGGAAACUUGUUCUUAACCAGGUAAGUGAUAAAGGGAGUCCCACCAUAUUGAUGUCUAUCUGAUCUUGAAUGUGAAGGUAAGGAAGGAAUGUGUCCAGAGCACUCAUGUAAGCAUGUUUGUUUGUAGGUAUCCUGUUAAGGUCUUUACAAGUAUACAGGUGUGAGAUGAUGUGACAUUAACUCCUUAAAGACAGUCUCAUUUUCAGUUAUCAGUAUAAUUAAUGGUCAAGAUUCUUACAUUUACAUUGUUUUUGGCAUGUGUCUAGUUAGGAAAUUAACUUGACCCUACCUAUAUUACUUUGAAUGAGGUUUUUUGGGGGUUAUUUAGAGAUAAUAUAUAUUUAAUAUGUGUAUUGAUGAACAAAUAUGCAAGGUUAAUCUUAUUGCCAUCACUGAGUUAUUGACUGUGGGAAUUUUUGCAGGUAUCCCUUCAAGAGGAGAAAGUACCUCUUCCCAGGAAUUGACCUUGAAUUCCUGAAACUAGCCAGGUAGUAUCGAUAGGUACCAAAAUGUUAACCAGUGACCAAGGAAACUGACAGCUUUAGAGGUAGAAUGAUUUCUGGACCGCAAACAUUUCCCACAGUGGGUUUUUCAGAUUCAUGUCAUGACAUCAUGGUAAUCCUGAUAAUGGUCAUUAGUAUGUCAUUGCUGGUAUGGAGAUGAGUAAUCCCGUAGGCCUAAUCCACAGUAUCUUCCAUUUGGCCUUCCUCUAUGUAAGUAGUGAUGUGUCCUUCUACUUCUUGUUACCAUGAUUUAUUGAAGGAAUUGGAAGAGGAAAUGAUAGCAUCUUUCACCACUUUAUGUGGCACCUGUGUUCACUUGUACUAUUUCUGAAAAUGUUCAUUUUUAACCCUGUGAAUGUUGAUGUUAUUAUAUGAAUAUAGUCCCUGUCACAGUACUAGUCAUAGGAGUUGUACAGAUGUCCUUUCAGAGAAGGAUGGUUUUAUCUGGCGUUGGUGCUGACCUUGGAUUGCCGCAAGUCUCCAGGUAGGAUGAUGUAUAUCCAAAUGAUGAAGUGACCCACAUGAUUGGCGGGUGUCCUGGUAGAAAAAGUUGUGUCCCUUAACAGGCAUUUCCUUUUCUCUUUCCAGGUUCCCAUCUAGAGAUCAUGACUAACCUAACAGUGCUCAUUAUUGGUGAACAUGGCUUGGGUACAGAUAAGUGAUGAUAGGGACCUAAACCACAGCACAGUUCAUUUGAUCUUCACAACUCAUGGUAAGUGGUAUUGAUUGGCUAAACUUGCUUUACCAUGUGAUUCAUUUCAGGUAUUCAGGUAAGAAGUGAGAAUGUCUUAUCAAUUCUAGCAAUCUUGUUGAACUGUUAUCUCUUUUUGAGAAUUUAUUUUUAACCAUUUCAGUGUGGAGCAAUUAAUUCUCAGGGAUGCAGGCCGUACUUCCUGAGUUGUGUGGCAUGGUAAUAACCACGGUGUUUCUGAAGGUGGGCAGUGAAGAGAGGAUGGUACUAUUUUUGUUUGCAUUUAUUAUUUCCGUUUUCUAGGCUUUUUUCUCUUUCCUUUAAAAUAGUUUUUUUUUUUCCUUCAGUUCUUAAACACACUUGUCCUGUUAAGAUCUUUGCUGCUGUCCAGGUGUGAGAUUAUGUGGUAAUAACUUGAAGAUAUUCUCAAUAUUAGUAGUUAGAGAAUCAGUGUUUUCGAGAUUGUUACAUUUACCUCAUUUGUGUCAUGUUUGUUGUUUCAAACUCAAUUUGUCUCUAAUAAUACUGACAAGACUACUAAAAAGAUUUUUGUAUUCAUCUUUAGAGAUACCACGGAUUUCACUACUAAUGAAAGAAUGAUAUGCAUGUAUUCAUGUAAUUAAUCCUAUCGAGCAUCACAGCAGUGUUGGCUCAGGUCAUACUGCAGGGAGCCCUUCAGAGAAGAAGGGGUCUCUUCCUAUGGUUUGACCUCCGUGUCUGCAAGUAGGUCCCUAGUAGUGUUGAUGGGUCUCCAGAUGAUCCUCAAAGUCACCAAUGGAAUUGGGGAUGAAGAGCUGAAAUGACCCUUGUACCAAAUGUAUUUUCUGUCAUAUGUUUUUCAUAUUGAGGCUAAGCCAUCAUGGAAAGCCCAUCCACGGUAGUGAAUGUGGACAUUGUUGGUAUGGAAGUAAGGGGGGAUAGGGUACUGAACCACCACACAGACAGUCAGCAUUCACACAUCUGGGUAAUGAUGAAGUGUCCUCAACUUCUUGAUAUCAUGACUUUUUAUAGGUAGUUAGGUAAGAAAUUGUAGCAACUUUACAAACUUGUAGCCACCAUGUUAUCCUGUAGUUUCGUGUUAGAAAAAUUAGAUUUAAUUGUAAGAUUGUUGAGUGACAUGCAGGUAUUAAUGUGUUUCUUAUAGAUCUGAAAGUCACAGUACUAACCAAGGCUUUAUGCAGAUGCAGAGGCAGCCAGUAUUGUUUAUCCAGCAGUGGCCUAGACCUUGGAGCACUGCAAGCAUCUGGGCUGACUUGAUGAGUCCUGCAGUGAUAGGCAUGACAAAGGUAUUUUCAGGGUCUAGGUAGUAAAGUUGUGUCCAUGGACACAUUUGUCACAAUGUGUUUUCCACAUUCCUCUCUAGAGGUCAUGAUGAACCUCAUAAUCAUCAUUAAAGUGAUGGGGCUUGUAUCCAGGUAAGUAAUGAUGUGGGCCUUUUGCAAGAGACAGACCAUCUACUGUUCCGAUACAGUUAGGUAUGGGUAAUGUGCAUAGCUCUUCUGUUGACUUGCUUUUUGAGUGUUCAGGUAAGAAAUGAUAAUGUCGUAGUUCUAGAAACCUUAACUCUUGAUUUAUUAUAUUUUGGAGAAAAACAGAUGCUUAACACUAGGAAUGCUCUGGGGUGGCAGAUAGAGAGUAAUUUAUUGUAGUUUUUCCCCUUCACGGUGCUACCUGUAGGAUUUUUGCCAGGGUCCAGUCAGGAAAUGAUUAUUGCCUAACAUUGGUGCUGACCUUGAAUUAUUGCAGAUACCCAGGUAGAGUUGAUGUGUCUCAUAUUGGUGAAGUGACCAAGUUUAUUGGCAGGUGUCUUGGCUGAAAAAGUUCUUUCAUGACAUCUCUUUCAGGUUUGCUCAAGAGACCUCAGCGGACUUACCAAUGGUUAGUAAGAGGGACCGUGGCAAGUGUGCAUAUAAGUUGCACUGUGAGCCUAAACCAUAGCACAGUAUAUUUGAUCGUCACACAGUAGGUACAUCAUGCUUGUUUCCGUAAACAUUGUUGUGAUCAUUUUUUUUGCAGCUAUUCAAGCAGGAAAUGAUAAGUCUUACCAAUUACAGAAACACGAGUUUUCCCUUUUCAUAUUUUAGAGCAAGUGUUUGUUAAUCCCUAUGAUUGGUGAGCUCUUGCCACAUUGACUUGAUGUUCAUAAUGUUCUAACCCCAGUGGUAACCAUGACAUUUUGCAGGUGUCUCAUAAUGGAAUGUUGUUGUCUGUGACAAUGGUCUCAACCUUUGGCAUACUGCAAAUAUUGAGGGGGGGUUGAUGUACUCAUAAUGAGGGAAAUAUCCAAGGUCAUUGGAAGAUAUCCUGCUACAAGUUCUGUCCUUUUGACCUGUAGUGUGUAUUUCUCAGGUUAUUGUCAAGAAAGCAAGAUGAACUGAGUGGUUGGUAAAGGGGGUCCUUCCUGGUGUGCAGGUGAGAGAUGACAUUCACCUUCCCCACAUCAGAGCACCUUGCAUUCACAUCUCUGUGUAAGUGCUGUUGAUUGGCUAAGCUUGUUUUACCAUGAGAUUCAUUCAGGUAUUGAGUUAAGAAAUUUAGAGUUUUAUCAGUUCUAACAAUCAUGUUCUCCUAUUGAUUUGUAUUUUUGACCUCGUGAGUAUGGACCAACUCAUAGGUGUGCAGGCUGUGCUGACUGAGUUGUAUGACACAGUAGUGACUGUGGAGUUUCUGCAGGGCGGGCAGGGAAGAGAGGAUGGAGUUUCUUGCAAUGGCAUAGACCUUGGAGUACUACAUGAACCCAGCAAGAGCUGAUGGUGAGUCCUGCAGUGAGUUCAGGGGACAAGGUUAUCUGCAAUGUCCUAGGGAAGAACGUGUUUCCACAGAUGCAUUUUACACAGUUCUUCAAGUUCCCUGGGAAGACAUCAUGGUAAAGAUCAUAAUGACCAAUAAGGAGACUUUGCUUGUGUCCAGGUAAGUGAUGCUCUGGACCUUCAGCACCUACAGACAGUCUCAUUUUCAGAUGUAUGAGCAAGUGUGGGUGGUGCUCCCAGGUUUUAUGUUAUUGUGCUUUUAUGUAAGUAUUCUGUUGAGGAAUUAUAUUAUCCUUGUGCUGAUAUACAGGUAUGAGAUGAUGUGAGACAGUUGCUCGGAAACAUUCUUAAUAUCAGUGUUUACAGAAUUAAUAUUUUAGGGAUUUUAUAAGACUUAGUUUUUGUCAUGUUAGUUGUCAUAAAAUUAAUUUUCCCUAAUAUACUAAGAAAAUACUAAAAAGGUUUUUUAUUCUCUUUUAGCAAUAACAUGGAUUUUACUACUAAUGAAAGACAGACAAGGAUGUAUUCGUGUACGUGUUCCUGUUGAGCAUCACAGCAGUGUUGGCUCAGGGACUAUUGCAGGGAACCCUUCGGAGAAGAAGGGAUCUCUUCCUAGGGUUUGACCUCCGUGUCUGCAAGCAGGUCCCCAGAUUGAGGCUAACCCAUCAUGGUAGCCCAUCCAUGGUAGUGAAAGUGGAUAUUGUUGGUGUGGAGUUGAGGAAGGAUGGGGGACAGAACCACUGCACAGACGGUCAGCAUUUACAUAUCUGGGUAAUGAUGAUGUGUAUUCAGCUUCUUAUUGUGACUUUUUUGUAGGUAAUCAGGUAAGAAAUUGUAGAGACCUUACAAAUUCUAGUUACCAUGUGAUCCUGUAGUUUUAUACUUUAGAAAAAAUUUCUGUUUAACCACAAGUUGUUGACCAACUUGCAGAUAUCCAUGUAAUUUUCAUAGACCUGUGGUGAGUCACAGUACUAACCAUGGCUUUAUGCAGGUUUAAGGCAGCCAGUGUUGGUUUCUCUACCAGUGGCCUAGACCUUGGUGCACUGCAAGAUUCCUGGUUGAUUUGAUAAAUCCUGCAUGGGACUCGAUGGGACAUGAAAAAGUUAUUUUCAGGGUCCAGGUAAGAAAGUUGUGUCCAUAGACAUAUUUGUCACGGUGUGUUUUCCAGGUUUCUAUCUAGAGGUCAUGGUGAAUCUCGUAAUUAUAAUCAAAGGGACGUGGUUUGCUCCACAUAAGUGAUGCUGUGGGCCUUUUGCAUAAGACAGACCAUCUGUUCUUCAGAUACAAGUAUGUGUGGAUAAUGUCCAUAACUGUUGUGUUGCCAUGCUUUUUUGCAAGUAUUUAGGUAAGAAACGAUAGUGUCUUUAUUCCAGAGAUCAUGUCUUGAUUUUUUAUAUUUUAGGUAAAAAUGGAAGCUUAAUACUAGGAAUGCUCUGGGUGGCAGAUCUACAGUAAUUUAUUGUGAGUUUUCUCUCUACACUACUACCCAUGGGAUUUUUGCCAGUGUCCUGUUGAUAAAUGAUCAGUGCCUAAUAUUGGUGCUGACCUUGAAUUACUAUAAGUAUCCAGGUAAAGUUGAUAUACCUCAUAAUGGUGAAGUGACCUAGUGUAUUUGCAGGUGUCCUGGCUGAAAACAUUGUUUGAUAACAUCUCUUUCAGGUUUUUUUCAAGAGUUCCCAGUGGACUUACCAGUGAUCAGUAAGAGGGACCUUGGCAGGUGUGCAGGCAAUUUGUGCUAUGGGCCUAAACCAUACCACAGGUCAUUUGAUCUUCACGUGCUAGAUUGCAGUUAAACUGUCACAGAAAGCCCAUCCACGUGGUGAAUGUGGACCUGGUUGGUGUGGAAAUGAGGGAUGUUGGGGGCCUGAACCACAGCAUAGACAGCCAGCAUUCACUUAUCAACAUAAUGCUGAUGUGUCCUCAACUUCCGGUUAUCAUGAAUUUUUGCAGGUAAUCAAGGAAGAAAUUAUAGAGACCUUACAAAUUCUAGGCACCAUGAUAUCCUGUAGUUUUAUAUUUUAGAAAAUUUUCGGAUAACCGUCAGGGUAUUUAACCACUUGCAGCUUUCCAUGUGAUUGUCAUAGAGCUUCAGAUCGUAAUAGUAAUCACGGCUUUAUGCAGGUGUAAAUACAGCCAAUGCUGGUUUCUCUAAGAGUGGCCUAGACCUUGGAGCACUGCAAGACUCCUGGUUAAUUUGAUAAGUCCUGCACUGAUGGGCAUGACAAUCUUAUUUUCAGGUUCCAGGUAAUAAAGUUGUGUCCAUAGACAUUUGUCACAGUGUGUUUUCCAGGUUCCUGUCUGGAGAUAGAGAUGUACCUCAUCAUCAUCUUUUUUAAAGGGACAUGCCUUGUAUCCAGGUAAGUGACUGAUAUGAGCCUGUUGCAGGUAACAGACCAUCUGCUCUUCAAAUAUGGGUAAGUGUGGAUAGUUCCCUAACUGUUGUGUUGCCACGCUUUUCUUCCAGCUAUUCAGGCAAGAAGGGAUAGUGUCUUUAUUCUAGAGACCAUCAAUCUGGAUUUUAUAUAUUUUAGAGAAAAUGUCUGCUUAACACAGGGGAUCCUCUGGCGUGGCAGAUAUGUAGUUAUUUAUUGUAGUUUUCCCCUCCACAUUACUAGCUAUAGGAUUUUUAGAGGUGUCAAGAAAUGAUCAUGUCCUGACAUUGGUGUUGACCUUGGAUUAUUCCAAAUAUCCAGGUAGAGAUGGUGCGUAUCUCAUACUGGUGCAGUGAUCAAGUUUAUUGGCAGUUGUCCUAGCUGAAAACGUUGUGUCUUUUGACACACGUUUCAUAACAUGUCUUUCAGGUUUCCUUCCAGAGAUCACAGUGGACCUAACAGUGGUCGUUAAGAGGUUCCUUGGCUUGUGUCUGGGAAAGUUGUGAUGCGGGCCUAAAGCAUAACACAGGUCAUUUGAUCUUCACAUGCUACGCAAGGUGUUUGUUAAUCCCUGUGAUUGAUGAAAACCUGCCAUAUUUCUUGAUGAUCAUGAUGCUCCAACCCCAGUGGUUACUGUCAAGAAAGCAAGAUGAACAGAAGGGUUCAUAAAGGGGGUCCUUCCUGGUGUGCACGCGAGAGAUGGUGCUCACCGUCCCCUCAUCAGAGCAUCUUGCAUUCACAUCUCUGGGUAAGUGAUGUGGAUGGAAUCAACUUAUUUUACCAUGAGAUUCAUUUCAGGUAUUCAGGUGAAAAAAUGAAAAUAUUCUAUCAGUUCUAGCCAGCAUGUUCUCCUGAUUUAUAUUUUUCAGAUUUUUGCUUUUCAGCUUGUGAGUGCAGAACCAUUCACGAGUGUGCAGGCAGUGCUGACUGAGUGUGGCACAGUAGAUAUCGUGGCAUUUCGGCAGGGAGGCAGGGAGGAAGGGGUGGUAUUUCUAGAAAUGGCAUAAACCUUGGAGUACUGCAUGAAGCCAGCGAGAGCUGCUGGUGGGUCCUGCAUUGAAGGCAUUGAACGAGGUUGUCCGCAGGGGCCUAUAGGAGAGGUGUGUUCACAGACACAUUAUACACUGUGUUUGUCAGGUUCCAGGAAGAUACCAUCAUAAAGAUCAUCAUGACCAAGACUUUGCUUGUGUCUAAGUAAGUGAUGCUGUGGGCCUUCGCACCUAUGCGCAGUCUGAUCAACAGAUGUGUGGGUAAGCGUGGGUGGUUUCCUAGGUUUUAUGUACUGUGUUUUUUUGCAGGUAUUCAGUUAAGAAAUGAUGUUGUCCCAAUCAGUGACAUUCAGCCAUAGCCAUAUUGUCUUAAUGUAUACAUGUAAUGUGCCUUUACCCUUCAUGGUGACUAAGGUUGUGCACGUGGCUCUAGGUUAUCCUAGUGUGGACACCAAGGGAUUGACUUUGAGGUUCCUGCCAGUGCUCAGGGGUGCUAUGUUUCUGGCCAUGGAAUUGACACUGAAGAUCUGAAAGGCCCAGGUAGUAUUGAUGGUUCCCUUAAGGUCUUAAGUAACUAAGGUUAUUUGCUGGGUGUGUCUCAUUUGCAUUUGUUUGUUUGUUUUUUCCUCUUUCUUGUAAAGUGAAUUUUUCCCCUCCGUCUUUAAACACACUUGACCUGUAAGUUUUUAAAAGUCACAACUCUCUUGAGAACAAUGUGAACCUAACAGUGGUCGUGAACGAGACGUGGCUAAUAAGCAGGCUUGUGACAGAGUGGCUUUUAUCUUUUAUCGCAGGGCAGGUCACUUGACCUCAGACAUCUAGGUAAGUGAGGAUAGUCUUUUGCUUGUGUCCUGUUAAGUUCUUUGCUGGUAAACAGGUAUGUGAUGAUGUGCCAAUAACUGAGAGACAUUUUCAGUGUUGGUGGUUUAAAAAAAUGUUUUAUAUUUACCUUGUUUUUGUCAUUAUUAUUGUUAUAGAACGAAUUCUCUCUAAUAAUACUCAUAAUACUAAUAAGACUUUUGCAUUCUUCUUUAGUGAUAUCAUGCAUUUAACUACUAAUGAAAGACAGACAUGGAUGUAUUCGUGUUCGUGAUCCUGUUGAGCAUCACAGCAGUGUUGGCUCAGGGACUCUUGCAGGGAACCCUUCGGAGAAGAAGGGAUCUCUUCCUAGGGUUUGACCUCCGUGUCUGCAAGCAGGUCCCCAGCCUGAGGCUAACGCAUCAUGGAAAGCUCAUCCAUGUUAGUGAAUGUGGACGUUGUUGGCAUGGAGGUGAAGGAUGCGGGAGGCCUGAACCACCACGCAGAUAGUCAUCAUUCGUAUAUCUGGGUAAUGACGAUGUGCCCUCACCCUCUGGUUAUCAUGACUCUUUUGCAGGUAACCAGAUAAGAAAUUACAGAGAUUUUACCAAUUUUAGCCACCAUGUUAUCCUGUAGUUUUAUAUUUUAGAAAAAUU
Sus scrofa (pig) is the source of this 13569-nucleotide long non-coding RNA. RefSeq lists it as uncharacterized. The record is from RefSeq and is a predicted model, not a curated record. NCBI's taxonomy places the organism in Eukaryota, Metazoa, Chordata, Mammalia, Artiodactyla, Suidae.